Molecule: ribosomal RNA, 465 nt
Filed under: Vreelandella stevensii
Lineage: Bacteria; Pseudomonadati; Pseudomonadota; Gammaproteobacteria; Oceanospirillales; Halomonadaceae
Description: partial 16S ribosomal RNA
Rfam family: Bacterial small subunit ribosomal RNA
Source: RNAcentral
CCUACGGGAGGCAGCAGUGGGGAAUAUUGGACAAUGGGCGAAAGCCUGAUCCAGCCAUGCCGCGUGUGUGAAGAAGGCCUUCGGGUUGUAAAGCACUUUCAGUGGGGAAGAAAGCCUUGGGGCUAAUACCCUCGAGGAAGGACAUCACCCACAGAAGAAGCACCGGCUAACUCCGUGCCAGCAGCCGCGGUAAUACGGAGGGUGCGAGCGUUAAUCGGAAUUACUGGGCGUAAAGCGCGCGUAGGCGGUCUGAUAAGCCGGUUGUGAAAGCCCCGGGCUCAACCUGGGAACGGCAUCCGGAACUGUCAGGCUAGAGGGCAGGAGAGGAAGGUAGAAUUCCCGGUGUAGCGGUGAAAUGCGUAGAGAUCGGGAGGAAUACCAGUGGCGAAGGCGGCCUUCUGGACUGACACUGACGCUGAGGUGCGAAAGCGUGGGUAGCAAACAGGAUUAGAUACCUGUGUAGUC